This 250-nucleotide ribosomal RNA is filed under the name uncultured bacterium. RNAcentral describes it as "partial 16S ribosomal RNA". It matches the Rfam family "Bacterial small subunit ribosomal RNA", at positions 525 to 776 of the family's 1533-position model. The record is from RNAcentral.
ACGGAGGGUGCAAACGUUUCGGAAUUACUGGGCGUAAAGCGCGCGUAGGCGGUUUGUUAAGUCAGAUGUGAAAGCCCAAGGCUCAACCUUGGACGUGCAUUUGAAACUGGCAAACUUGAGUACUGGAGGGGAUGGUGGAAUUCCCGGUGUAGAGGUGAAAUUCGUAGAUAUCGGGAGGAAUACCGGUGGCGAAGGCGGCCAUCUGGCCAGAUACUGACGCUGAGGUGCGAAAGCGUGGGGAGCAAACAGG